GAUCAUCCACCAGCAUUUUUUUUUUCAAAUAUUCGGCUGUUCCAAAGAAAAACGUAGUAUAUAUUUUCAUUGGAGUUCUUUUUCUUUUAAUGUUACAAGUUACACAUUCGUUUUAGAUGGAAGUAAAUAUUUAUUUUUAUUACUAAUGCUUUUAUACUUUUUAUCUUGGUUUCAACACUUCUUGAUGAACCACUCUAUAACAUGGGAUGCUCUUGACAUGCAAUAGCGUGCAUAAUUCUGAAUUACUUAAAAAUGUUGUUGGAAAUACAUGCAACCAUGUAAAAGUUGUGUAACUACCUUCAAAAGUUUGUUUUUGUUUUGUUCCGUCAUAUUCCAAGAUUUCCGCCGUCUUCUGUAGUAGUUGUAUGGUUGCUGAUUUGGGCUUGGUGCGCUGGUGGCUGACCUGUUUGGGGUGGCUCGAAUUUUCGGAUUCCUCCGGCAUCUCCCGACUAGCGGUUGUUGAUGCUUGGCUCUUUCUCAAAAUGUGCUUUAUUGUUUUUCUCCCAUUCUUGUAAGCAAGAUUUCUAGUAAAAAUGGAAGCCAUUCGGUAAUGAAGAUCAUGCGCACUAAUGUUUUUCAUUAGUGGAAAACAUUAAUGCUAACACCUAUGUGAAUGGUAAUGAUCCCUCCUCUAUUUAUGCUUUUAGAAGAGUUGACCGCUUAUAUUUGGAAUCAUUGUCUUUGGUUGAAUGUCAUUGUUGUACUGUAUUUUGAUUGUGUUUAUGUUAUGAAGUGAACCUUUUUUUCGUAAAUAAACAAAAAAAAACCUUAAAAGGUUGGCAAGAUUCCUAAAUUACUCCAUUAUUGAAAUGUCUUAGAAAGUAUAACUUGAAGACUUAGAAUAUAGAUAUUAUUAAAAUGUACACUUUUAACUUUACCUUUCAAUGAAAUAUGUGUUUUCCUCCUAGUAAAACAAAAGGUACUCUUAUAUUUAAACAUACAAGUAACACUUUGUUUAUUAGAAAUAAUAUCUAAGUGAAACUUUCAUGUAAUGCGUACUAUUUAUUAAGUAUUUUAUUGAAUUAGUGCCACCCUUAAUCGAAUUACCAACUCGGUUAGAAAAAUUAUAAAAAUGCUUUUUUGAAAUUAAAAUAGGUUAUACUAUUUGAGGGUAUUUUAGUCUUUUUAUUUAAACAAAAACUAAUAAAAAUAUGGUGGGAUUUGAACCCACACCAAUUGUAUUAAUAAAAUUAUAAAUUGACCCUCAACCAAAGUUUCAUUUUAGUGUUUUCAUACGUUUUUAUUUUAAUAUGCGCAAUUUAUUACCUUCAUUUUAAUGACGUCAUAUUAAUAUGAUAUAUUUAUGUGUUGAAAUUUAGUUUUAUUUGUAAUUCAAUUUUUUUUUAAUAUCAUACAUAUUUCAUAUGUUAUUAUGAUUAAAUCAUAUAUUUAUUAUUUAUUAUAUAUUAUUUUUAAAGUGUUGUACACGCAUAUGCGUGUAAGAUUUCUAGCAUUUGUAAUUUGUUUAAAUUGCAUUAUCCAAUACUUGUAGCAAGUUCACUCUUUUUUUCUUUCUAUAAUUGUGCAUUAAUAACCUCUUUUGAGGCUUAUAAAUGGAGCUUUUUAAUCUUUUUAGCUUAUUUUAAAUUCUCUUGUAAAUUUCUCUAAAACAAUCCUAACAACUACUAAAACUCACUUUUCAUCGUAUUUAUUUUUCAGUGUCAGUUUGAAUCUUUCUUUUCGUCAUUUUUUCGCAACAUUCAGUUUUACUGAUUUUUAACGUUUUGUUUUUUUACAUAAAAAAACUAUUUACAAAUUUUAAAUUAAUGUGAAAAUAGAUUAAAGUUAAGAAUAAUAAUCCGAAAAGAGACACUAAAUUUCAGGUUGAUAUAGGAUGCCACCAUAUCCAGGCUGUUUCACUUUCAUCCUCCGUAGCAAGCUGUUGAGAAUUAAAGCUGUGGGUCAAAUAAGCAAGGGAACCAGUGAUCAUGAUGGGUAUUAAUCAUUCUGGGUGAUGUAUUGAAUUGUAAUUUUCUUGGACUCAUCACUUUAGGAUUAACCUAACCCUCCUGGCUCCUGCACGUUUCAAGUUCAACCACAAGUCUUUUAAACUUCUUCAAUGAUCUCAUAUCUAUAAUCUAUAACUACUAUUAAAAUAGAUACAUGAAAUUUACUUUACAUGUUUCAGCUUGAUUUUGUGAUGCCUGUUUUAUUUUAUUUCAUUUUCUUUUAAAAUUUUUCGUGUACUUUUUAUUAAAUUGGAUUGGAUCGAUCAAUUAAAUUGAGAAUUGAUUAAAGUAAAAAAUUAAAUUGAUUGACUCA
This 2262-nucleotide long non-coding RNA is filed under the name Gossypium barbadense (sea-island cotton). RNAcentral describes it as "long non-coding RNA (GBAR_LNC002537)". Lineage: Eukaryota; Viridiplantae; Streptophyta; Magnoliopsida; Malvales; Malvaceae. The record is from RNAcentral.